GGGCACAUAGCGUAGGGGUUAUCGCGCUCGCUUUGCAUGUUUGCUGGAUGCGAGAGGUCUCCGGUUCAAAUCCGGAUGUGUCCA
This is a non-coding RNA of Lentinula edodes (shiitake mushroom), 84 nucleotides long. The record is from Rfam. NCBI's taxonomy places the organism in Eukaryota, Fungi, Basidiomycota, Agaricomycetes, Agaricales, Omphalotaceae.